AUUGAACGCUGGCGGCAGGCCUAACACAUGCAAGUCGAACGGUAACAGGAAGAAGCUUGCUUCUUUGCUGACGAGUGGCGGACGGGUGAGUAAUGUCUGGGAAACUGCCUGAUGGAGGGGGAUAACUACUGGAAACGGUAGCUAAUACCGCAUAACGUCGCAAGACCAAAGAGGGGGACCUUCGGGCCUCUUGCCAUCGGAUGUGCCCAGAUGGGAUUAGCUAGUAGGUGGGGUAACGGCUCACCUAGGCGACGAUCCCUAGCUGGUCUGAGAGGAUGACCAGCCACACUGGAACUGAGACACGGUCCAGACUCCUACGGGAGGCAGCAGUGGGGAAUAUUGCACAAUGGGGGCAAGCCUGAUGCAGCCAUGCCGCGUGUAUGAAGAAGGCCUUCGGGUUGUAAAGUACUUUCAGCGGGGAGGAAGGGAGUAAAGUUAAUACCUUUGCCCAUUGACGUUACCCGCAGAAGAAGCCCCGGCUAACUCCGUG
Molecule: ribosomal RNA, 490 nt
Filed under: uncultured bacterium
Lineage: Bacteria
Description: partial 16S ribosomal RNA
Rfam family: Bacterial small subunit ribosomal RNA
Source: RNAcentral